This 433-nucleotide ribosomal RNA is filed under the name uncultured Anaerovorax sp. Its description in RNAcentral is "partial 16S ribosomal RNA". It matches the Rfam family "Bacterial small subunit ribosomal RNA", at positions 341 to 792 of the family's 1533-position model. Lineage: Bacteria; Bacillati; Bacillota; Clostridia; Peptostreptococcales; Anaerovoracaceae. The record is from RNAcentral.
ACGGGAGGCAGCAGUGGGGAAUCUUGCACAAUGGGGGAAACCCUGAUGCAGCAACGCCGCGUGAAGGAUGAAGGCCCUUGGGUCGUAAACUUCUUUUCUGAGGGAAGAUAAUGACGGUACCUCAGGAAUAAGUCCCGGCUAACUACGUGCCAGCAGCCGCGGUAAUACGUAGGGGGCGAGCGUUAUCCGGAAUUAUUGGGCGUAAAGAGUACGUAGGUGGUUUCCUAAGCAUGGGGUUUAAGGCAAUGGCUUAACUAUUGUUCGCCCCAUGAACUGGGUUACUUGAGUGCUGGAGGGGAAAGCGGAAUUCCUAGUGUAGCGGUGAAAUGCGUAGAUAUUAGGAGGAACACCAGUGGCGAAGGCGGCUUUCUGGACAGUAACUGACACUGAGGUACGAAAGUGUGGGGAGCAAACAGGAUUAGAUACCCUGGUA